CCCCACAUCUACUGGCCUUUCUCUUAUUUUCUCCCAAAUUGACUGCAAUCAGAAGGCAAUUGCUACUCCGACUGGCCAUUGCACAUAUUGAAUUCCGAGAUUGGUGUUGCAAUUGAGAUAAACUCUGAGGCUGGUGUUGCAAUUGACAGAUUAAUGUAAGUUCUGAAAGGAACACUUGUAUCAAAAAGAUUAAUGGUCCGGAAAGAGAAACCAGUAAAUUAAUAUAAGCUUGGAAGAUGUUAGCAACAAUGCAACGGAAAGAGUUAAAGAGAAUGAAGAAGGUGUUUUCAAUUGCAUGGUAAGGCUUUUGUUUCUAGCACUUCUUUGUACAAAGUUUGUUUCGUUAAAAUUUGCUUUUGUUUUGUUGCCGUAUUUAUGUUGCAUUUCUGAGAUGAGUAAUUUGUGAACUUCCACUUUCUUGAAUCUCUUCCAGCAACUUACUAUAUCGGUAUAUCUAUCUUUUAAUAUUUGAUAAUUAUGUUCUUAACCUAUGUUGCUCGGACUCAUAGAAAAUGUCAAUGGAUGUAUGUCGGAUUUGCCAAAUUUUUUGUAUUUAGAUGAUAGAUAUUUCAUCCAAAGAGGAGUUAAUCCUAGACGAGAUUGUGGAGGUAGGUGUACCGUGUGUACGGAUGUGAGAAACAACAUUGCUUUUAAGACAAUACUGUUAAUCUGAUGAUACUUUAGUGGUUUGCCUUCUUUGCUAUAGUGUCGUUCUUCUAUGUAUAGGACAUACGUUACUGAUUUAUAAGUUCAGGAGUUAACUGCUCUACUCUUAAGUCUUAAUCCUCUAUAUAUGUACUUGAUUUCUUAUAUAUGCUUUACUUGAGCCAAGGGUCUAUGUAAAACAACCUCUCUACCUUCAAACAACCUCUCCAUAGCAUCCAUAUCAAACUCUGGCAUAAUAGAUAAACAACACGUAGGCAGUAAGGAUCCACCAUAGUGAAAAACCCAGACACGCUCCUAAUUGAAGUACACUUCUGAAGAUCAUUCUUUAGUUUAUUGUAAGUAUCUAGAAUUGGAUUAGUGGCAUAGGAUGCCACCCCCAAGUUCACCAACUGAGGAGUUUGAAGUAAAAUCCCGUGAAGAACAUUAAGAGGCACGACGCAAUUUAGCCUCAGCUUUGUUACCACCAAUCUUACAAGAUCUCCAAAGUCCUUUGAGACAAGCAAAAUUUAAUGAGACAAGGGUGAUGCAGCUGUCCGAAAAACAACUAAGCCACUGUCCUUUGCGAUAUUCUACUUGACAUUCUUGCAAGUCCAACUCUUGUAAAAACCUGUAUUUUAGUGAAAACUGAUCAAUAAACCAAACUAAUGAAAGCAAUUGAUCAUCUUUCAUUGUCUAUUGUUGUAAUGUGUGACAAAACUCAUUAAUUGCUUCCACGAGGAAAGCUCUUUUACACAUAGAAUACUCCAGCAGAGUAUCUGGGUGUGUGAGCACUGAAAAAUAGAAAUUAAAAAUACUACCAAAUAAGAUGCCUUUCACAUAGGCAAUAAUCAGGGUAAACUAUAGCUUCGAGUCUGAUAUUAGAUACAUGGCAACAAAGCUUUGCAUCAGCAUUGUAUUGUGCCAUAGUAGCCUUGUUGGCUUUAUGUUUCAUGUGACUAGCAGCAGAAGAGGCAGAAAAGUGGAAUCUUCAUAAGUGAUUUUGUUAUUCUGGCUUGUGGGUGUUGUUCCUUUGCUUGUUUUACUGUUCUGCAACUCCAUUUUUUAGAUUCUUGAAAAUAGUUUAUUCUUAGAGAUAGUUUCAAUACAUAGAGCAACUGGAAUUCUUGUAUGACUUCUAGAUGAAGAACUUAGAAAAGCUACAGACUAGUUUCCUGUUCGUUGUUUAUUAUCUCAUUGUACAUUGAUUGAUUUGAUGUGAAUCCAUUCACUGUGAAUAACACUUUUAUUGUUUUGUAAUUGUAACUAAAAUGUGGAUAUUUGCCAAUAUAUUGCAGAUAUGCCAAGGUACAAGCGCAUGUAGAAAAUUGAUUUCAUUACAAGGAGACUACGUGAUGAUUAUGAUCCUAAUAAUAGUCAUUAAUUUCAUUGCAAAUUGUAUGUCUUCGAUAUUCAAUUAUGUCUUGGAUGUAUUUAUGUAUUUUGUUGGAGUGAAUCUUAAAACACUGAAUCUUUUGUGUUUAAAUUUGAUUUUGAAGAUACUACUUAAUAUUGAAAAAUUGGAGUU
This 2170-nucleotide long non-coding RNA is filed under the name Capsicum annuum. RNAcentral describes it as "long non-coding RNA (CANN_LNC007875)". The record is from RNAcentral. Lineage: Eukaryota; Viridiplantae; Streptophyta; Magnoliopsida; Solanales; Solanaceae.